This 145-nucleotide small RNA is filed under the name chicken gut metagenome. RNAcentral describes it as "M-box riboswitch (ykoK leader)". It matches the Rfam family "M-box riboswitch aptamer (ykoK leader)", at positions 11 to 156 of the family's 169-position model. Rfam says of the family: M-box riboswitch, also know as ykoK leader is described as a metaloregulatory RNA that sense divalent metals and function as a genetic control element of genes related to divalent metal transport in bacteria. It was first reported upstream of the B.subtilis ykoK gene and genes with related functions in other bacteria. The record is from RNAcentral.
GUUCGGUAGGUAAGGCUCCUGCCGGGAUAUGGGCUGUUGCCGCGAAAUGGUGGAGACACCAUGAGUUGGUUUGAACAGGGUGCGUCGAAGACAAGGCGCACCAUAACACAGCUUCACCGCCCGGCAGUGUCAAAGCUCACACGGA